GGUAAACAUGAAAAAAAAAUUAUCUUUUUACAUCAUUGGUCAUGGACAAACUAGAAACUUUUAAGAUAAAUGAUUACCGACUCACUUUCCACAACAAUGCAGACAAAAAGGAGUAUAAUAAGAAUAAUCUUGUAAAUUAAUUGAUUCAGCACAACAAGGCUUAAUACAAGAGGGUUUAAUAUAAAUGAUACUUGUCAAAGAUAUUGCAAUACUCCAUUAAUCAUAUGUUGUUCACCUGUGGCGAAUAUAGAAAUCAAUGAAUAAAUUUAUCUGGCGGGGGGCAAAAUUUUAUAAAAAGAGUAAUUGCAGUGCAUAUACAAGAAAAACUUGCAUAUUUGCGGUGAUGGAAUUCAGAUUUUUUAAGUGACGUGUUCUUUUAAUGUCCAUAGCACCGCUAUCAUCUAAUACUUCAACCAAAUGUGUACUACAUCUUCGAACCCUAUAUAUCAUUAUUACGCGUGAAGAGAUAGAACACGUUCAUCACUUCAAUCAAUACACUAUUAUUUAUAAAAAUAUCUAUCUAAUCUUUCUAAAUCUCUUUGGUUUCUCCGUAGAUAUGAUCCGCCUUCUCUCACAAUCUCCCUGUUUUAUCCGUCAGAACCCUUGCUAAGAAAUUAUCCCCAAUCCAUCUCAUCUCUUUGAUUUCUCCGACAGAACCCUUGUUCCGAAAAAAUCUCCCGUCUAUCGAAUACGAGAUCAACUCUCUGUCGAAAUCCUUUCUCCAAAAUAAUAUCACAUCCGCCGGGUCCUAUUCUUCAUUCACACCAUUCUUGAUUGUCUCCAUUACGAUUGUCUUGAUAUCAUCUAAUCUCCUGUUGGCAAAUAUGGAGACCAUUGAGUUAGCAUCUCGGAUUUUUGCUGCUGGAGAGGAACCAGUAUAAAGGAAAGCGACGAUAUAUCGUUGUCUCAAAGCACCAUAGCUCUGUCCGGUUACGUCCAGUCCCUCCAGAUGGUCAUGACAAAAGUCGUACCUGCUCUCACUGAAGUUGUAUGGCAAGACUCUGCAACCGAUGUAGCUGGUGCUGAGGAUGAUGAUUUUUCAUAUACCCCCCCUAGUAAUGGUAUCAAGCCAGCACACACAAGGACGUUGGAUACUGCUAAAAGUGUGAGCCUUUUUCACACUUCUUGUUUAUUAUUUCCUGCUUUUCGACCAUUCAUGUUUAUCCAACUAUUGAUGACAUUGUAAUGAAAUUCUAAAAGAUAGCCGGCUAAGCUAACUGAAGCAUGUUAUUUCUU
This is a long non-coding RNA of Brassica napus (rape), 1236 nucleotides long. RefSeq lists it as uncharacterized. Lineage: Eukaryota; Viridiplantae; Streptophyta; Magnoliopsida; Brassicales; Brassicaceae. The transcript is spliced from 2 exons. The record is from RefSeq and is a predicted model, not a curated record.